AGAUUGAACGCUGGCGGCAUGCCUAACACAUGCAAGUCGAACGGGAGUAGCAAUACUCUAGUGGCGGACGGGUGAGGAAUACGUAGGAAUUUGCCCUUAAGUGGGGGAUAACCCGGGGAAACCCGGAUUAAUACCGCAUGACCUCGAAGGAGCAAAGUGGGGGAUCGCAAGACCUCACGCUUUUGGAGAAGCCUACGUCGGAUUAGCUAGUUGGUGAGGUAAUGGCUCACCAAGGCGACGAUCCGUAACUGGUCUGAGAGGAUGAUCAGUCACACCGGAACUGAGACACGGUCCGGACUCCGUACGGGAGGCAGCAGUGGGGAAUACGUGGACAAGU
This 337-nucleotide ribosomal RNA is filed under the name uncultured soil bacterium. RNAcentral describes it as "bacterial SSU rRNA". It matches the Rfam family "Bacterial small subunit ribosomal RNA", at positions 26 to 373 of the family's 1533-position model. The record is from RNAcentral.